This 226-nucleotide ribosomal RNA is filed under the name Acartia tonsa. RNAcentral's name for it is "partial large subunit ribosomal RNA". Lineage: Eukaryota; Metazoa; Arthropoda; Copepoda; Calanoida; Acartiidae. The record is from RNAcentral.
UAGCUUCUGCACUAUUUGUAGCCGCAAUUCAACAUCGAGGUCGCAAACAAUUAUUUUAAUAAGGGCUUAAAUAAUUAUAACGCUGUUAUCCCUAGAGUACCUUAUUCGUCUAAUUUAAUAAAGAUCAUUGUUAAUAUAAAUAGUCCUAUUUAAAUUUACCCCAAAUAAACUUGUGUACAAUUAUUACUUCAUUAAUUAAGUAAAGGUUCAUAGGGUCUUCUCGUCA